This 563-nucleotide ribosomal RNA is filed under the name Verrucosispora sp. 415C05. Its description in RNAcentral is "bacterial SSU rRNA". It matches the Rfam family "Bacterial small subunit ribosomal RNA", at positions 93 to 671 of the family's 1533-position model. The record is from RNAcentral. RNAcentral also lists the same sequence under 5 other names. Lineage: Bacteria; Bacillati; Actinomycetota; Actinomycetes; Micromonosporales; Micromonosporaceae.
GAGCGGCGAACGGGUGAGUAACACGUGAGCAACCUGCCCUAGGCUUUGGGAUAACCCUCGGAAACGGGGGCUAAUACCGAAUAGGACCUCCUGUCGCAUGGUGGGGGGUGGAAAGUUUUUCGGCCUGGGAUGGGCUCGCGGCCUAUCAGCUUGUUGGUGGGGUGAUGGCCUACCAAGGCGACGACGGGUAGCCGGCCUGAGAGGGCGACCGGCCACACUGGGACUGAGACACGGCCCAGACUCCUACGGGAGGCAGCAGUGGGGAAUAUUGCACAAUGGGCGGAAGCCUGAUGCAGCGACGCCGCGUGAGGGAUGACGGCCUUCGGGUUGUAAACCUCUUUCAGCAGGGACGAAGCGCAAGUGACGGUACCUGCAGAAGAAGCGCCGGCCAACUACGUGCCAGCAGCCGCGGUAAGACGUAGGGCGCGAGCGUUGUCCGGAUUUAUUGGGCGUAAAGAGCUCGUAGGCGGCUUGUCGCGUCGACUGUGAAAACCCGCAGCUCAACUGCGGGCCUGCAGUCGAUACGGGCAGGCUAGAGUUCGGUAGGGGAGACUGGAAUUCCU